RNAcentral lists this long non-coding RNA (3111 nucleotides) under Daphnia magna. Its description in RNAcentral is "uncharacterized LOC116919279, transcript variant X2". The record is from RNAcentral. Lineage: Eukaryota; Metazoa; Arthropoda; Branchiopoda; Diplostraca; Daphniidae.
UUCACUCGGUUACAUCAGAACGUGUUUUUUUUCCCUUUACUAUUAUUAUAUUUCUUCUUUUAGCUGUACCGAAGAUGUGAACGUGUCAAACAAAACAGCGAAACAAAACAAAAACGAAAAAGAUGGGGAAUCGAAAAGAAAACGGACCGAUGAUAAAUGGGCCCUACAAGUCCGUCAAGUCGGAAGAUACAUUGCGCAACAGUCGUAACGUGCGACACAACCAACUACUAGCGGCGGUGGCGGCAAGCAACACAACACAAGAAUUUUAUUUUAUUUUUUUUCAAAGGAUUUCCAUCUUUUUAUUUUCUUCUCCUCUCUUUUCAAAAUAUAACGCUCAUUCGCCUUCGGGAGAACGCGGUAAAAUGGAGGGAAAACAAAAAAAAAGGGACCCUUGACCGGACCAAGCGGCGAAGAGUCAUCAACCGAAAAGAAAUCCUUUUUCUUAUAUUUUUAAAUAAGCAAGGCGCGCCGGUGCUCUUUUCGUUGUGUAGGGGCCAUCAUCAAUAGGACCAGGGCAAAAAAAAAAACCAAAAAAAGCAACGGUCAUUAUCAUAUUUUGAUAGAUUGAACUUUCGGCCAAGAACAAGCAAAAAAAAAACAACAAAAUCUUAACGAAAAAUAGUCGAUAGUUUCUGAUUUCUUUUUUAAAAUUAAACAAAUUAAGCGGGGAACUCCUGGCUAUGCCAUUGGGUUCUUGUUCCCCCCCCUCCACUGACUUCGUUAGAUUCCUGUUGAAUUACGUCAACCGACUACUCAAAUUCAAUCGAAAUUGAAACGAUCCUCGCGUGAUUUCCAAUUAUCGGUGUUACAUCAUUUCAGAGUCACCACUCCCUGCUGAUAAGAGCGUCUCAAGUCGGGGUUUGGUGAAACAACUUGACGCCCCACACAAAAUAGGAGAGAUAGGGAAGGGGGGAUGACCGUCACGACAUAAGAGGUGAAGGUAUUUGAAAUUCCGAUAAGACGUGUAAAAAAAAAAGAGAAUGGCGAACGUGCAACGGGCAUUGUAAUAUAAAACAGAGAGAAAAACAAAUGUCAACUUACCGUUACGUAAAAAUAAAUUUGAAAAGAACAAUUCAAGAAAAAAAGAAGUGAACGCGAUCAACAAAAUCCAGCGCUAUAAAAAACGUGCGCGCGCACGGACCGUCUCUCGAUGGCAGUUGGUUAUAAUCCUCUGAUUCGGUUUGGACAAGUUGGCAAACAACUUGUUUUGUGUUGCUUCUUCUAGCCUUUUCGUGUGUGUGUGUGAGAUAGAUAAACUGAUUGGGCAAAAAUAGCAAAUUAACGGGGUCAACUAUGCACUCGAAUUCCUUGCCGAUCCAUCCUGUUCAAAGUCUGACUCGUCGCAAGUAGAUCACUCGUUUUCAAAAGAAAAUCGCACUUUCAAAUCGCACACUGCCACUGGACUAAUCUUCAAUUAUGUUUCGUUUUUUUGUUGGACAAUCUGGCCAAUAACACUGAACCCCCACCAACAAAACAAAAAUGUAAGAAAUACCCAAACUUUAACCGUACGGGGGUCACAUACACACGCAAAUUCCUUGGCACAAAAAUAAUAAUAAUAAUAAUAAAAUAAAAAAUCUUCUAUUUCAUGUCGUUUCGUUUGGCAAAAAGCGAACACAGACGACAGGACACUGUAGAACGGAUUUAUAAAUUUUCAACACACACACACACAAAAAAGAAUGGACGGUGUGUGUAGGGGAGACUGCGAGGUCUCUUCUCUUCAGCGUGUCCUCCGCACAUGUGACUGGGAGCUCUGGCGAGUCUUGUAAGAGAGUGUACAGUGUUUGGGCACAAAGUUUGAAGAAGUGAGCCUCCUUCUCUUUCUGUUUCUCCUUCUCCCGGCCGCCGAUGGGGCGUAGUAGAAGAAGGAGGAGAAAUGGGAAAAGAAGAAGAAGAAGAAAAAAAGAGAAAAAAAAAAGAAAAAAGUGGGAGGAGUUGUUGGUGAAGAACUGGAAGACCCUCGCGCCACCACCAGCAAAAGAGAAAUAAAGUUUUUUUUUUUUUUUUUUUUUGCUAUUUACUGCUGGACUCUUGUAUGUAUGUGUGCAACACGGACGCGCUAGUAAGACGGGCAUACAACGGAAGAAAAGAAAAUAAAAUUUUAAUUCAUAUUUUUUUUUUCCAGCUACAAAGAAUGGCACAUCAAAAAGGAAUGCCUCAAGAAAGAGAGACGUUCUACCUGGUCUUUGAAGAGGGGGGGAGUAUAAGGUCAGAUAGGAGGAGGGCACCAGCAAAGUACUGGCCAAAAAGAGAAAAAAAAAAUUGCUGAUGGCAUCCAGGUGAACUGCUAGUCCCCCUGUCUAUAAGAGGAUCCAACAAAGUUGACCGCAUAGAAUUUGUCAUUCAACAGCCGACGACGAUGUAAAAGGAGAAGUGUCCAGGAAUCAAUUUGUUAUGAAUAUUUUAUAGACGGCUAGUGGUUGGUCGUACAAUACUCGGAAACAGAGAGGAGGGGAGACGAGAAUUCGAAACUGUCGACAAACAGACCGACACGUCAUUUUGAAAAAAAGGACCCCUUCGACAUUUCGAGUUGCAUUAAAACCAAGUCACUCACGUAGAGGCACAUGCCUAGGCGCCCCACCAAGUUGAUCGAUAGUUGAAAAUGAGUUAUGGUCCACCUUUCUGUUUGGCCCUCAUUUGGUUAUUUGUCAAUGGAUUUAUCGCCAAGUCAUCGCGCCAUCAACCAGUUUCUUUAAAAUAUUCUUUCCAUUUGAUUUGAUUUUUUGAAACAUUCUUUUUGGGACACCCCGCUAAAGUCGAUAACGACAUGACACACAGUCCCAUUGUUUCUGAGAGGCCGAAGCGUUUCAGACCGGAACAUCAUUCGUAUAUGUUUUGGAUUUUCCCCAUCUGUUUCACUAGAAAACAAACUGAAUUUUCAUUUUUCGAUUCGAAUAGUAAGUGACUUGUGACUUUCUGUCCUACCAUUUUUCACGCUACCCAAUCAAAAAGGAAAGAAAAUUGUACAUCAUCUUCAUUGGCAAGGCAACGCGUUAAGGAAUUCCUGUCGUAGUGGCAAUGAAAGACGAACACUUGGUACAACAAUGAAAUCGAUUUUAUAUCCCAUGGCAUCGGCCGAUAUCUAAGCGGGACAAACAACGAUCCCACAUUCGU